CUACAACUCCCGGCGUGCAUCGCCCCGGACCCGCCGGUAAGAGUUGGUGCCCUCUGGCGGACGGGAGGGAAAUCGCGAGGCCCCGGCGUGAAGGGGCGGCGGGACGGGCCAGGGGACAGCGGGACGGGCCAGGGGACAGCGGGACGGGCCAGGGGACAGCGGGACGGGCGGCAGGAAGGAGCAGGAGACAGGAGACAGGGGGCACGUAAACGGUAAACGGCAGGGGCACAGCUGGGUCCCUGGGGGCUCGGGAUCGGCCCGCUGCCCUUCCGACGGGACCAACAGCAGGGAAACGCCCAUCUGUAAAUGCUGAGACCCCCGAGCGAGUGUCUCACCUGAGCAAGCCUAGAACUGGUGCCUGGAGGCGAAGGCUCUGGCAAUGAGAUCCUCGGGAUCAUGGGGUGCUUGGAUGGUGUCUCCUCGGCCCAGGGAACAUUCCCAACACUGUCCUGGAGGCUCUCUCACCUGAGAUGGAAAAGCACGUGAAAAUUCCUCUGGCAUGAGGUCAGGCAGGAGUCCUGGAGUCCUCUCCCAAGGGAAGCAAAGCAAGAUUCCUGUCUGAGACACCAGGACAAAGCCACUCAAGAGCUACCUGUCUUCUCCAAGUCAGGUUUCACUUGGGAAAACUCCCUCAGCCUCCCUUUUCUGCCUCCUGUCUGUGUCCCUCUGGGCUGCCAUCUCCUCCAACGCCCUCCUGGUGAAGGUGUCACCCCUUUGGAUGUUCAGGAGAUCACCUCCCAUCCUAUCAGACAGAUUUGCUUUCUGUGAGAUCCACAAGGUCUCUGCAGUUCCUAGGAGGGUUUAAACAGGGUGGUGACAUGACAGAUGUCACAAGAGCAGAGCUGGAGAAGGCGGCAAUUCCCGACAAGCUUCUGGAGCUGGGGAGGGCACAGCAUUGGCACCCCAGUCCAGGCUUCCCUCCCGCACCCCGUCAGGGUCUGCUUUAGCCACCAGUGUGUUAACAGCACCCAGGACUGGAAAACAAGCCUGGGACUGUGGAUUGCAGAAUAAAUACAAAAAUAAACCCAC
This is a long non-coding RNA of Prinia subflava (tawny-flanked prinia), 1029 nucleotides long. RefSeq lists it as uncharacterized. The transcript has 3 exons. NCBI's taxonomy places the organism in Eukaryota, Metazoa, Chordata, Aves, Passeriformes, Cisticolidae. The record is from RefSeq and is a predicted model, not a curated record.